RNAcentral lists this long non-coding RNA (1054 nucleotides) under Lupinus angustifolius (narrow-leaved blue lupine). RNAcentral's name for it is "long non-coding RNA (LANG_LNC003418)". The record is from RNAcentral. Lineage: Eukaryota; Viridiplantae; Streptophyta; Magnoliopsida; Fabales; Fabaceae.
UCGCAAAGUAUGCUCUCUUUCUCCUUGUUUUUACUGAGUGUCUGUGUGUAGCAAUGUUGUGUGUUACUUGUUUGAUGUGCGACUCCCUAUUUAUAGCUGAGUAUGAGUCAGUGCAAAAACAUUUUGAGUUACUGACUGAAACUGCCCCUUUUGAAAUCCCAUGACUUUUGCUUUCUGAUUUCAAUACUUUAACUGCCCAUGAAUGCUGAUUAGGACUAUGUGAUAACUGUAAGGGGCAUAACCUCUGGUUUACCAUUGCUUCUUUUACGUGUAACCUUUGGAUAGUUGCUAUUGAUAUUUUUGCACUUAUGCUGAAUAUGUAACUGAAGGGAAAGAUGCCAAUAACAAUGAUUCAUGUUUGCAUCUCUUUAUUGCCAUAUUUUACAAUUCUUCUGAUUAGGAUUCUCGGCUAAAUCAUUUUCUCUCCUUUUUUACAUUUAAUAAUGGUUCGAAAUGUAACAGUCUGCAGUGGUAGAAUAUAUGUUUUAUCUGACAUUUGGUUUCCUUUGAUAUCAGGUUCUCAACGUGGCUAAUAAAGAGUCAUGCUCUUGGAAACUUGAAGUGUUGUUGAAGCUACACCACGUUCUGCUGAUGAAUUGAGGAAUUUACCCAAAGCAUGAUCAGGACCUGGCUCCCAUUCUGGACACCUUACAGUGCUACGUCCAGCUACCUUUCCAUUUGCAACAUUUGUGACACUGUCAUCCCAAGAACAUUGUAGAAUAUAGAUUUUGUAUUGCUUCUAAGAGUUCAGGCAUUGUUUUCUUUGUAUCCUCCUUAGCAACUUCAAUGGCCUCCAUAGGAUAUUUGUAAAGGGUUGGUGAAUGAGAGAUGAUACAUUCAUACACGUAAUGAAUUGGGAGUUUUAAGCAUUUUCAAAACAUAUGAUAAUUUUUUGCGACUUUCUUUCUUGAAUAUGCAAGUAGUAUAUUAUUUUCUUGCCACACUAAGACCAGGGAUUAGUGGGUAUAGAUUGCCAUUCAUAUAAAAAUGUGAGGACUCACGUUUUGACUCUAACAACCUUGUGAGCAGAAUUCAUUCCCUAAUCUAAUCCGAA